Molecule: transfer RNA, 57 nt
Filed under: Tubulipora flabellaris
Lineage: Eukaryota; Metazoa; Bryozoa; Stenolaemata; Tubuliporida; Tubuliporidae
Description: tRNA-Phe
Source: RNAcentral
GUUUAUAAGAACGUAAGAUUGAAAAUCUUGAAGAUUUUGAGUUUAACUAUAUAAGCA